CUACGGGCUGCUCCAGUGAGGAAUAUUGCACAAUGGGGGGAGCCCUGAUGCAGCAACGCCGCGUGGAGGAUGACGCAUUUCGGUGUGUAAACUCCUUUUAUAUGUCAAGAAAAUGACGGUAGCAUAUGAAUAAGCACCGGCUAACUCCGUGCCAGCAGCCGCGGUAAUACGGAGGGUGCAAGCGUUACUCGGAAUCACUGGGCGUAAAGGACGCGUAGGCGGGUUGGAAAGUCAGGUGUGAAAUCCUACAGCUUAACUGUAGAACUGCACUUGAAACUUCUAAUCUAGAGUAUGGGAGGGGGAGAUGGAAUUAGUGGUGUAGGGGUAAAAUCCGUAGAUAUCACUAGGAAUACCUAAAGCGAAGGCGAUCUCCUGGAACAUUACUGACGCUAAGGCGUGAAAGCGUGGGGAGCAAACAGGAUUAGAUACCCUUGUAGUC
This 439-nucleotide ribosomal RNA is filed under the name uncultured bacterium. Its description in RNAcentral is "partial 16S ribosomal RNA". It matches the Rfam family "Bacterial small subunit ribosomal RNA", at positions 339 to 795 of the family's 1533-position model. The record is from RNAcentral.